Molecule: long non-coding RNA, 694 nt
Filed under: Lathyrus oleraceus (garden pea)
Lineage: Eukaryota; Viridiplantae; Streptophyta; Magnoliopsida; Fabales; Fabaceae
Description: Pisum sativum (pea) long non-coding RNA (PSAT_LNC002842)
Source: RNAcentral
ACGCCUCUCAACUCGUUCCACCCUUCACCCACUCCGAGGUUGCCGUGUGGUCGGCGUUGCACCCAUGGUCUCAUUGUCACGGUUCCUCUAGUUGUUUUGUUUUUUAUGGUGAUUUAGUAUGUUCUUUUCGAAGCUUCGGGAAAAUAUCUCUUUGACAAGCUCUCAAUCAUAGUGUUUGAAGUUACGUUCUUCUGGUGGUCGUUUCUGCUUCUCUAGCGCCGCUGACUGGUUCGUUGUGACUUUGUAGAGUUUUGGUUUGUUUUCAGUUGUUGUUUUUGAAUCUGCUUCUCAAGCUACGAUUCACUAGUGUUGGUGGUGGAAUCUUGACUUUGAUAUAUGAUUCUUUUCAGAUCUAUUGAGAUCUGCAGUUUUCAUUGUGUUUGGGGUUUAACACUGCAUUAGGGGUUCUGUGGUGGUUAUAGCCUCAUCGUCGAUGUGAUGUUCUGUUGUUGUCCGAUAGGAUGCCUUUGAGCUAGCUCAUUGUGGUCUAAUUUGAUUAUGCUUGAAAGAGUUGUUAAUCUUGUUGUGGUUUAUUUCACAUGAGUUGUUGGUAUGUGUAUUUGUCCGUGUUGGCGGUCGAAACAUUUACCAUUCUGUAAAAGAUAAGUUUGAUUUUUCAAGCUCGUCUCUAAUUCGUUUAGAAUAUUUGCAACUUUUUACACACUUUUUUUUAGAAAUUUAAUUUCAAGCCCCG